GAUGUUUUCAAAAACAGGAAAGGGCUGCCUCGCUUUUUCUUCUUAUAAAAACAAAAAAAACAACAACACCCAACCAUCUGCUCAAGUCACCCGAGUGAUCACUUUCUUUUCUAUGUACAGAAGCUGGAUAGGCUCACAAUGGUGGCUGCUAACUUCUCAUGAAAGGCAGCAGUGCCAAACCAUCCGCUGGGCUUGUUAAUGGUCCUUUUUUUUGCUGCAUGGAUGGGGGGGGGAGAGAAAGGCUACUAAUGGGUCCCCCUCCCCCCCUUUUUUUUCUUCUCCUCCCUCUGCAGCAGCUGCAGCAAGAUCAGUGGCAGCCACCCUGGAACAGGGAUGCAGAAGAAAAGGGUGGGAACUGCUACGACAUUUGGCAGCUCCACAGAAGAGAUGCGUGCCUGACGUGAAUCCUGAUCAGCUCAAGAAUUUCAGCCGAAGAAAUAAGAAGCUGAAGGAGAAAUGGAAAAAUAAGAAAAGAGGGCAGAGUCAAGGGACUAAUAGCCAAAUUUGGAAAAACAGAGAGUCCUUCAAGAUGUCUUUUAAAGAGAGAGAGAGAGAGAGAGAGAGAGAGAGAGAGAGAGAGAGAGAGAGAUAAAAAUUGAUAUAUCACUGAUAGUGUCAUCAACACCAUCAUCAUCUCCUUCAGGAACUGGAAGCCUGAAUUUUGGAACAAGUGGCCAAGCCUCUUGAAGACCCAGUGUGUUGUGAAAAUUCCUCAGCCUUGAUAACGAAAGCAGCUGGAAACCAUAUCUGGAUAAUAGCCUUGUCUGGGCCCAGGAACUUUGAUUCCAACCUUGAUAGCUCCUCACCUCACAACUUUAGACCUGUCAGUUUUGUGGGGAAGCCGAGAAAAGAAUGGAAGGAAGAAGACCAGAGUGAAGAAGAUAUGAGGAACUUAUCUAUUGGGGGCUCUAAGACAUAAUCAAAGAAUCUGAAUACUCAUCACUGUAAGGCUGACUUCGGUGUCUUUUCCAUGCUUUGCUUAAGAGCAUUGUGAGAAAAGAUGAAGGGCAUCAUGGUCACAUAACUUGAAAUUAAUCCAUUAAACUUAUUCCACAAAGGACUGGUAGUUUUUGAAGACUGACUAAUUGACACCUUUUUUCUAUCUCUAAAACAAAAACUUGACUCCAAAUGCAAUUUUUAUUUGGACCAUGAAUAAAAAUACCAGUUCUCUCCUGAAAUAAGUAUAGAGUGAGCAUUUCUGUGUAAUAUAAAGCAAUCCAAUAGAAAAGAACAUAUGUAUUAACUGUUGAAUUGUGGAGUCCUUGCUGUUAACUUUAGUUUUCUUGUUCAAUUGCACUUUUGUUUUUCUGUUCUUUUAUGUAUUUAACAGAAUAGCAGAAUUGGAAGGGACAUUGGAGGUCUUCUAGUCCAACCCUCUGCUCAGGCAGGAAACCCUAUACUACUUCAGACAAAUGGAUGUCCAAUCUCUUCCUAAAAAAACUCCACUGGUUAAUGGUUCUGACUGUCAGGAAACUUCUCUUUAGUUCUAGGUUGGUUCUUUCCUUGAUCCAUUGCUUCUUGUCCUGCCUCUUGGUGCUUUGGAAAAUAAGUUGACCCCCUCUUCUUUGUGGCAACCUCUUAUUGGAACACUGCUAUCAUGUCACCCCUGGCUCUUCUUUUCAUGAAACUCUUUUGCUUUGUCUUUUAUUAUAUGAAAAUUCUUAAUAAAUAUGAACAUACAAAAAGAAAUUGAGAAGUAAAGGACAUACAAAGUUGAGAUGGAAGAAGAAAGGCGAAUAGUU
Long non-coding RNA from Pantherophis guttatus, 1742 nucleotides. RefSeq lists it as uncharacterized. Lineage: Eukaryota; Metazoa; Chordata; Lepidosauria; Squamata; Colubridae. The record is from RefSeq and is a predicted model, not a curated record.